GUCCGAUAUUCCACCUACUCCUUAAUUAAUUUCAUAAUUUAUAUUCUUCUUCUUACAUAUACAUAUAUAUAUAUGUUUUAUUUUAUAUAUAUUUGCUGCUGUUUAGUAUGAAAUAAAGGGUUUCCUCUUUGCAAUAUAAGAUGUUAGAUAAUCCCUUGAAUUCAUAUAUAUUUGAUUAAGAGGAAUUAAAUCUCUUAAAUAAAAUCUAAUCUUUGAUUGUGCAGCUGGAUCAUGGGGGAUAUGGUUAAUGCAAUAGAUACCUUCCUCUAUAAUUUCAAUUACUAUUACUCAUGUUGGUAAUUUGUGAGCAUUUCAAUUAUAAUUACUUGUGUUGGUAAUUUAUGAUUUUUAAUUUUAUAAAUAGUGAGAAAACUACAUCAUGGUAGGGAGAUUUUAGUUUAAUUUCUUAGUUAGUGCAAAAUUAUGUAAGUAUUAAGAUUGAAUCAUGUUAAAUAUUAUAUGUUUAGGUAAAUUUUACAACUAUAGGUUUAAAAAUAUUAUACCUACUACCCUUGUGUUUUCAAAAUGUUAUCAACCUCUCUUGAGAUUAAAUCCCAUUCAACACAUACUUUCUUUUCAUUAAAUAACAACAAUUAAUUUUAUUAAAAUUCCUAAAAUGCCUUCCCCAUUCUCAUUCUUCUAAAAUUAAAAUAAAUUACUAUUUGAACCUACUAGUGGGUUUACUGAUGAAAAUGCGUUGGAUGAGAAAGAGAAAGAGAGACAGAGAUGGAAAGAUGAGUAGUUAGUUUCGAAGAACCUAGAUUCACUUGACAAUGAAAAACACAAACCUUUUAAAUACAGAUUUCUAUGUUUGAACAAAUUAACCAACCUUUAAUCCUAAAUGAAAGAAUCGAGGGAGAGAAAAAAAAAAAAAAAAAAAAGUUACCAAUUGGUUGCAUCUUCUUCAUCCUCUCUGACAAGCUAUUUCUGGUGGAUGCAAAGAAUCAACGGAUUGAGUUUCUAGUGGGGGUUUUAGAGAAAAACCUUACCAUAAAUCAAAUUGAACUCUAAUUUAGGUUUAUCUAAUCCUAGUCAAAACCCCAUUACAUGAUAGGGUUUUAAAUGGAGAGAAAGAGACACUAGGGAGUUAGUGGUUAACUAGUUCCAUGGGUUACAAUGCAAAACGCUGUAGGAAAAAGAAACAAGAUGGAUCUUGAAAAUGUGUGAAAAGAGACAAAGAAAGAGAUGCGAUAUCGGAACUAGAGGGGAAACAUGGAAAGUUGUUUAUAUCCAAGGGUAAAAAAGUUAUUUUGGAUGUAGUAGUUGAAAUGGAGGUGGAUGUCUUUUUUAAAAAUAUAAGAAUAGUUGGUGCAAUUUAAACAAUCUUAAAGUAUAUUAUAUAAAAUUUACCCUAUAUAUAUAUAUAUAUGUUUUC
Long non-coding RNA from Diospyros lotus (date-plum), 1375 nucleotides. RefSeq lists it as uncharacterized. NCBI's taxonomy places the organism in Eukaryota, Viridiplantae, Streptophyta, Magnoliopsida, Ericales, Ebenaceae. The transcript has 2 exons. The record is from RefSeq and is a predicted model, not a curated record.